ACAACUUUCAACAAUGGAUCUCUUGGUUCUGGCAUCGAUGAAGAACGCAGCGAAAUGCGAUAAGUAGUGUGAAUUGCAGAAUUCAGUGAAUCAUCGAAUCUUUGAACGCACAUUGCGCCCUUUGGUAUUCCACUGGGCAUGCCUGUUCGAGCGUCAUUA
Molecule: ribosomal RNA, 159 nt
Filed under: Spiroplana centripeta
Lineage: Eukaryota; Fungi; Ascomycota; Dothideomycetes; Pleosporales
Description: 5.8S ribosomal RNA
Rfam family: 5.8S ribosomal RNA
About the family: 5.8S ribosomal RNA (5.8S rRNA) is a component of the large subunit of the eukaryotic ribosome. It is transcribed by RNA polymerase I as part of the 45S precursor that also contains 18S and 28S rRNA.
Source: RNAcentral